UCCUUGCCAUAAGGAUGUGUCUUGAUGGUGAAGAAAGAGUGGAAGAGUGAGACAGAUGGCCGAACAUUGGCUAUAAUAUAGAUAACUAAAAAAUCCACAAUGAAUUUGAAAGAAUUUGGGACCACUGCACAAAGGGAAAGGUCGUAAAAGUGGAAUAUGUCAAAGACGAGAAGAGGAACGAAAAAUCUCAAGCCCAAUCGGAGUGCUUCUUCAUACACCCCAAGCUGAUCAGGAGGCAGACUGUUACUCGAUCACCGGUCCCGAGGAGUUCUAAAUCGAAUUCUGAAGGAACUCUGAACCAAAUCCAUAUCCGAUUCAAGUCAUCUUGAUUUAAUACGGAGCCAAGAGCGCCGGGCCCAACCUCACCCGAGCCAUCUCCAGAUGAAAGGGUUAAAAGGUAGUCUAGAAGAAGGAAGAAAGAAGAGAAAAAUAGAUGGACAAAGAAGGAACACUAAGGAAACCCACCUUAGAAUGAAGG
RNAcentral lists this long non-coding RNA (478 nucleotides) under Elaeis guineensis (African oil palm). RNAcentral's name for it is "long non-coding RNA (EGUI_LNC016622)". Lineage: Eukaryota; Viridiplantae; Streptophyta; Magnoliopsida; Arecales; Arecaceae. The record is from RNAcentral.